CUCCUACGGGACGCAGCAGUGAGGAAUAUUGGUCAAUGGACGAGAGUCUGAACCAGCCAAGUAGCGUGAAGGAUGACUGCCCUAUGGGUUGUAAACUUCUUUUAUAUGGGAAUAAAAUGUUCCACGUGUGGGAUUUUGUAUGUACCAUAUGAAUAAGGAUCGGCUAACUCCGUGCCAGCAGCCGCGGUAAUACGGAGGAUGCGAGCGUUAUCCGGAUUUAUUGGGUUUAAAGGGGGCGUAGGCGGACGCUUAAGUCAGCGGUAAAAUUGCGGGGCUCAACCUCGUCGAGCCGUUGAAACUGGGUG
Molecule: ribosomal RNA, 305 nt
Filed under: uncultured bacterium
Lineage: Bacteria
Description: bacterial SSU rRNA
Rfam family: Bacterial small subunit ribosomal RNA
Source: RNAcentral